RNAcentral lists this ribosomal RNA (516 nucleotides) under Theristria imperfecta. RNAcentral describes it as "partial 16S ribosomal RNA". The stretch from base 403 to 516 matches the Rfam family "Bacterial large subunit ribosomal RNA", at positions 2473 to 2586 of the family's 2925-position model. Lineage: Eukaryota; Metazoa; Arthropoda; Insecta; Neuroptera; Mantispidae. The record is from RNAcentral.
CAAAAACAUGCCUUUUUGAUUAUAAUAUAAGGUCUAAUCUGCCCACUGAUAAUUAUUAAAGGGCCGCAGUAUAUUGACUGUGCAAAGGUAGCAUAAUCUUUUGUCUUUUAAUUGAAGGCUAGAAUGAAUGAUUGAAUGAAAUAUUAACUGUCUCAUAAUAAUAAAUAUAAAAAUUUAAUAUUUUAGUUAAAAAGCUAAAAUUAUAUUAAAAGACGAGAAGACCCUAUAGAUCUUUAUAAUUAAAUUUUUUAAUAAAUUUAUUAAAAAAAUAAUAUUAAUUUAAUUAAUUAUUUUAUUGGGGUGAUAGAAAAAUUUAUAUAACUUUUUUUUAUAUAAAAACAUUAAUUUAUGAAAUUUUAUUUUGAUCCAUUAAUAGUGAUUAUAAGAUUAAGUUACCUUAGGGAUAACAGCGUAAUUUUUUUAAAGAGUUCUUAUCGAUAAAAAGGAUUGCGACCUCGAUGUUGAAUUAAAGUAUAUAUUUAAAUGUAGCAGUUUAAAUAGUAGGUCUGUUCGACC